GGACUGUAGUCUGCAACCCGACUACACGAAGCUGGAAUCGCUAGUAAUCGCGAAUCAGAAUGUCGCGGUGAAUACGUUCCCGGGUCUUGUACACGCCGCCCGUCACACCAUGGGAGUCGGAAACGCCCGAAGCCAGUGACCCAACCGUAAGGAGGGAGCUGUCGAAGGCGGGGCCGGUAANGGGGUGAAGUCGUAACAAGGUAUC
RNAcentral lists this ribosomal RNA (205 nucleotides) under uncultured bacterium. RNAcentral describes it as "partial 16S ribosomal RNA". It matches the Rfam family "Bacterial small subunit ribosomal RNA", at positions 1295 to 1500 of the family's 1533-position model. The record is from RNAcentral.